UGUCGCAUGUGGUGAAGAAGACGCCAUAACCAUUUGUGUACGUACCUAUGGAAUCCGAUCAAAAUCUCUGUAACGGAUGCAGUUUCUGCUUAACUCCUCCAUCAAUUGACUCAUUAAACUGCAUUCAACUUCCUUCCCCUCCGCUCAUUAUUUGAGCCUCAUCAUCGUCAAAGGUAACGGCUACAACCUCGAGCUAUAAAUGAGUAUUUUCGAUGCACUGUAUACCUCCACCGCUCAGAUAUCUGCAAGAUUCAACUUUGUCAAGCAUCACCUCGAAUUAUGUCGACUUCAUAUGUUCUUUUCGCCGAUUUGAAAGCUGCAGAUGCUUAAACACCACUGAUAUCCAUCUGCUGAGAAGAAAGCCGGUGAGCUGAUAGGCGUUGAACUCAUCGAUUUGAAGAUACGUUGGUUAUUAAUUUCUUUGCUUUCAUUUAUCAACUUUUCAAUUUGAUGUUAUCUUAUUUCACUUCCCCUUAUCAGUCUUCGCUAAUCCAGACAUCAAUAUGUGUUCACCGGCUUAACACUUCCCGACAUCAUCUCAGUGAAGGUUUUGUGUACUAGCUCAGUGGUUUCGAUGUCAUACAGACUCCCCUGUCUCCAUUCGAUUCAAUGAUGGUACUUCGUUUGCAGCAAAAACUGAAUCGAACUGCAAAGAAGGGAGUUUUGUUCAGCAUUGGAGUGAUUUGUUAUUUACUACAUCUGGUCUUUACUGGUAGAGUAGAGAUUCACAAUAUCGUCAAUCUAAGGAACGAUGUAGAGAGGCUUCUUGAAUGUUAGAACGAUGUAUUGAGACGAAAACAUCAAGAGGUUAUUAAGAUAUGCUGCAAUAUAGAGAAAUUAUUAGAAUUUCAGGUUGAAGCAGAACUUCAAACUGAGUUUGAACUUCUUCAGAUUGGAAAAAAACAGGAGGGUAACUAUUCCAAGCUCAAGGUUUCAGAGAAGAGUGAGUAUUUAGAAGGAACUAGGGUCAGACAUAUGUGCUCAGAACCAUUGGAGGAACAACAAGGAGUAUGUCCUUAUGAGCUGGAGACAAGGCUACACAGGCUCAUGGAGACGAGACAAAAAAAAAGGAGAUAAAAGAGCUGCAGACGGCAUUGGAAAACCCUAAGAAAGGCUUCAUGUGAGAGAGGCUGAAACUUCUUGGUGGAAAGACACUGAAUAUAUAGUCUCUGAACAUAAUACCUAAACAGUCUGGAAUCAAUUUCAAUUAUCAAAACUUGACGUUCCCCCCUCUCUAGCUAAGUAAAAAAAUCCAGUGUUUCAAGUUUAACUAGAAAACAAAAGUGUAUGUAAUCUUGUGAAGAAGCUGAAUGUUAAUUAAUCGAUUUGCC
Brassica oleracea var. oleracea is the source of this 1331-nucleotide long non-coding RNA. RefSeq lists it as uncharacterized. The transcript has 4 exons. Lineage: Eukaryota; Viridiplantae; Streptophyta; Magnoliopsida; Brassicales; Brassicaceae. The record is from RefSeq and is a predicted model, not a curated record.